RNAcentral lists this long non-coding RNA (903 nucleotides) under Gossypium barbadense (sea-island cotton). Its description in RNAcentral is "long non-coding RNA (GBAR_LNC008300)". Lineage: Eukaryota; Viridiplantae; Streptophyta; Magnoliopsida; Malvales; Malvaceae. The record is from RNAcentral.
CUGCUUCUCAAAAGAAAAUUUUCAAAACCUUUCUCAAAACUCUCUCCUUUCCUUCCAUUAUCUGGCCAAUGCUCCGGCGCCGGUCCGCCACCCUACACGACGGCCGGAGCUUCAACUUUUUGACCGAUCUUGUCUCCUUAACCCCGAUUUAAAACCCAAAACUUUAGAAAAAGCCUUUUAAAAAUAAAAUAAAACAAAUAAACCCUCGGUUUCCUUCCCUGAUCUCAAGAAAGGUAAUGUUUUUUUGUGUUUUCUUUGAAUAUAUAUGUAUAUAUGUGUGUUAUACUCAAAAUACAUAUGAGAAAAAAAAACGAUAUAACUCUGUAAAGAAAAAUAGUAUUUUGAUUUGCUUUUAUGUGUUUUUCUUCGUGUAUAUUCGUCUCUUAAAAAAAAUUUACAUUCAUGUCUUUGUGGCUUUUUAUAGCCUAAAAAAAUACAAAAAUUUUGCUUGUUUUUUGUUGCUAUUGCCAAUUUGCUGCUGUUGUGUGUUUGUCCUUUCUGUAGGUACAGAGGAGGACGUCGAUGUACGGGGGUGGUACGGCGGCGCUGACGUGGCGAGGUGGAGCAGGGGGUGCGGCGGCUAGGGCAAAGAGGCUAGGGUUUUUUUGUGCUAAAAAUGUUUACAAUUUUGGGCCAUUUGGGCCUCCUAGGGUUUUUAGGAAAUUUGAGUUUCUAUUUUUUUUUGAUUUUGGGCUUGUAAUGGGUUUAAUUGAUUUAGGCUUGAUGUAAAUGGACUUUGACUUGGACCUUUUAAUUUAUUUGGUUUUAUUUAUUGUUUUUGGUUUCUAUUUUCUGUUUUUGUUUUUGUAUGGGCCCGGGCAGAUUUGGGCCUGUACAAAUUUCAUAUAAAAACUAGUGAGAGUUUUGCCAACAAUCUUUUGACCUAGCGGCAAGAAUAUUGUG